CGCGUAGGCGGUUCGGUUAGUUAGGCGUGAAAUUCCUGGGCUCAACCUAGGGACUGCGCUUAAUACAGCCGGGCUUGAGUUCGGAAGAGGGUAGUGGAAUUCCCAGUGUAGAGGUGAAAUUCGUAGAUAUUGGGAAGAACACCGGUGGCGAAGGCGGCUACCUGGUCCGAUGACGCUGAGGCGCGAAAGCGUGGGGAGCAAACA
Molecule: ribosomal RNA, 204 nt
Filed under: uncultured bacterium
Lineage: Bacteria
Description: partial 16S ribosomal RNA
Rfam family: Bacterial small subunit ribosomal RNA
Source: RNAcentral